GACGAACGCUGGCGGCGUGCUUAACACAUGCAAGUCGAACGAAGUGGCGAACGGGUGAGUAACGCGUAAUCCACCUGCCCUUCAGAGGGGGACAACAGUUGGAAACGACUGCUAAUACCGCAUACUGAAGGAGGGGUUUUCGUCUGAUUAGCUAGUUGAAGGGGUAACGGCCCACCAAGGCUCUGAUCAGUAUCCGGUCUGAGAGGAUGAACGGCCAGAUUGGGAAUAAGAGGCGGCCCAGACUCCUACGGGAGGCAGCCGUGGGGGAUCUGCCGCAAUGGACGAAAGUCUGACGAGGCAACGCCGCGGGAGUGAUGACGGCCUUCGGGUUGUAAAGCUCUGUUAAUCGGGACGCGGUACCGGAAUAGAAACCCACGGCUAACUACGUGCCAGCCGCCGCGGUAAUUC
This 408-nucleotide ribosomal RNA is filed under the name uncultured bacterium. Its description in RNAcentral is "partial 16S ribosomal RNA". It matches the Rfam family "Bacterial small subunit ribosomal RNA", at positions 28 to 526 of the family's 1533-position model. The record is from RNAcentral.